UACGGAGGGUGCAAGCGUUACUCGGAAUCACUGGGCGUAAAGCGCGCGCAGGCGGGCUGAUAAGCUGGGUGUGAAAGCCUAUGGCUCAACCAUAGAACUGCAUCCAGAACUGUCAGUCUCGAGUCUGGGAGGGGAAGAUGGAAUUAGUUGUGUAGGGGUAAAAUCCGUAGAGAUAACUAGGAAUACCAAAAGCGAAGGCGAUCUUCUGGAACAGUACUGACGCUGAGGCGCGAAAGCGUGGGGAGCAAACAGGAUUAGAUACCCUGGUAGUCCACGCCCUAAACGAUGAAUGUUAGUCGUUGGAGAGCUUGUCUCUUCAGUGAUGCAGCUAACGCAUUAAACAUUCCGCCUGGGGAGUACGGUCGCAAGAUUAAAACUCAAAGGAAUAGACGGGGACCCGCACAAGUGGUGGAGCAUGUGGUUUAAUUCGAAGAUACGCGAAGAACCUUACCUGGCCUUGACAUUGAUGGAAUCCUGUAGAGAUACGGGAGUGCCCUUCGGGGAGCCUGAAAACAGGUGCUGCACGGCUGUCGUCAGCUCGUGUCGUGAGAUGUUGGGUUAAGUCCCGCAACGAGCGCAACCCUCGUGAUUAGUUACUAACGGUUCGGCCGAGGACUCUAAUCAGACUGCCUCCGCAAGGAGGAGGAAGGUGAGGACGACGUCAAGUCAUCAUGGCCCUUACGGCCAGGGCGACACACGUGCUACAAUGGGGUGUACAAUGAGACGCAAUACCGCGAGGUGGAGCAAAUCUAUAAAGCAUCUCUCAGUUCGGAUAGCAGUCUGCAACUCGACUGCUUGAAGCUGGAAUCACUAGUAAUCGUGGAUCAGCCAUGCCACGGUGAAUACGUUCCCGGGUC
RNAcentral lists this ribosomal RNA (857 nucleotides) under uncultured bacterium. RNAcentral describes it as "bacterial SSU rRNA". It matches the Rfam family "Bacterial small subunit ribosomal RNA", at positions 524 to 1380 of the family's 1533-position model. The record is from RNAcentral.